UACGUAGGGGGCAAGCGUUGUCCGGAUUUAUUGGGCGUAAAGGGCGCGUAGGCGGCCAGCACAAGUCAGUUGUGAAAUCUCCGAGCUUAACUCGGAAAGGUCAACUGAUACUGUGCGGCUAGAGUGCGGAAGGGGCAACUGGAAUUCUUGGUGUAGCGGUGAAAUGCGUAGAUAUCAAGAGGAACACCUGCGGCGAAGGCGGGUUGCUGGGCCGAUACUGACGCUGAGGAGCGAAAGCGUGGGGAGCGAACAGG
This 254-nucleotide ribosomal RNA is filed under the name uncultured bacterium. Its description in RNAcentral is "partial 16S ribosomal RNA". It matches the Rfam family "Bacterial small subunit ribosomal RNA", at positions 524 to 776 of the family's 1533-position model. The record is from RNAcentral.